ACAAUAGCCAGCAUAUGGAAGCAACCUAAGUGUCCAUCGGCAGAUGAAUGGAUAAAGAAGAUGUGGCACAUAUAUACAAUGGAAUAUUACUCAGCCAUAAAAAGAAACGAAAUUGAGUUAUUUGUAGUGAGGUGGAUGGACCUAGAGUCUGUCAUACAGAGUGAAGUAAGUCAGAAAAAGAAAAACAAAUACCAUAUGCUAACACAUAUAUAUGGAAUCUAAAAAAAAAACAAAAAAAAAUUGGUUCUGAAGAACCUAGGGGCGGGACGGGAAUAAAGACGCAGAUGUAGUAGAGAAUGGACUUGAGGACACGGGGAGGGGGAAGGGUAAGCUGGGACGAAGUGAGAGAGUGGCAUGGACAUAUAUACACUACCAGAUGUAAAAUAGAUAGCUAGUGGGAAGCAGCUGCAUAGCACAAGGAGAUCAGCUCGGUGCUUUGUGACCACAUAGAGGGGUGGGAUAGGGAGGGUGGGAGGGAGACGCAAGAGGGAGGAGAUAUGGGGAUAUAUGUAUAUGUACAGAUGAUUCACUUUGUUAUAAAGCAGAAACUAACACACCAUUGUAAAGCAAUUAUACUCCAAUAAAGAUGUUAAAAAAUAUAUAUAUGAAUGCAUU
Orcinus orca (killer whale) is the source of this 615-nucleotide long non-coding RNA. RefSeq lists it as uncharacterized. The transcript has 2 exons. The record is from RefSeq and is a predicted model, not a curated record. NCBI's taxonomy places the organism in Eukaryota, Metazoa, Chordata, Mammalia, Artiodactyla, Delphinidae.